GUGGGGAAUAUUGGGCAAUGGGCGAAAGCCUGACCCAGCAACGCCGCGUGAGGGAAGAAGGCCUUCGGGUUGUAAACCUCUGUCCUUGGUGACGAAACAAAUGACGGUAGCCAAGGAGGAAGCCCCGGCUAACUACGUGCCAGCAGCCGCGGUAAUACGUAGGGGGCGAGCGUUGUCCGGAAUUACUGGGCGUAAAGGGUGCGUAGGUGGCCUUUUAAGGUGGAUGUGAAAUACCCGGGCUUAACUUGGGGGGUGCAUCUAAUACUGGAGGGCUAGAGUGCAGGAGAGGGAAGCGGAAUUCCUAGUGUAGCGGUGAAAUGCGUAGAUAUUAGGAGGAACACCAGUGGCGAAGGCGGCUUUCUGGACUGUAACUGACACUGAGGCACGAAAGCGUGGGGAGCAAACAGGAUUAGAUACCCGUGUAGUCC
RNAcentral lists this ribosomal RNA (428 nucleotides) under uncultured bacterium. RNAcentral's name for it is "partial 16S ribosomal RNA". It matches the Rfam family "Bacterial small subunit ribosomal RNA", at positions 354 to 796 of the family's 1533-position model. The record is from RNAcentral.